CUAGGAGAACCGAAAACAGUUCUAGACUGACCUGCGGUUUUAUAGCACUUUGGCAGUCAACUUCAGCUUGUGUCAGAGCAGACACGACUGAGCUGCCCGACGGUUAAUCGCGGGACGCCACCUACUUGGACCCACUGCAGUCUCCCCUCCUCUUGCAUUAAAUAAAUCUCAACCCUUUGGGCACAGGAGUGGGGAACGAGGCUGGCAAAGG
This 211-nucleotide long non-coding RNA is filed under the name Nothoprocta perdicaria. Its description in RNAcentral is "HOXA11 antisense RNA 1 conserved region 5 (ENSNPEG00000002465.1)". It matches the Rfam family "HOXA11 antisense RNA 1 conserved region 5". The record is from RNAcentral. Lineage: Eukaryota; Metazoa; Chordata; Aves; Tinamiformes; Tinamidae.